RNAcentral lists this transfer RNA (62 nucleotides) under Perkinsiella saccharicida. RNAcentral describes it as "tRNA-Pro". Lineage: Eukaryota; Metazoa; Arthropoda; Insecta; Hemiptera; Delphacidae. The record is from RNAcentral.
CAGCUAAUAGUUUAUUAAAAUUUCAAUUUUGGAUAUUGAAGAUACAUUAAUUGUUUGGCUGA